GAGCAAAAGAAAUCAACCGAGAUUCCCCUAGUAGUGGCGAGCGAACGGGGAGUAGCCCUUAAGUUUUGUGCGGUUUAGUGGAACAGUCUGGAAAGUCUGGUCAUAGCGGGUGAUAGCCCCGUACACGAAAAACUGCAUGAGAUGAAAUCGAGUAAGGCGAGGCACGUGAAACCUUGUCUGAAUAUGGGGGGACCAUCCUCCAAGGCUAAAUACUCCUAGCUGACCGAUAGUGAACUAGUACCGUGAGGGAAAGGCGAAAAGAACCCCGGGAGGGGAGUGAAAUAGAUCCUGA
This 292-nucleotide ribosomal RNA is filed under the name uncultured Phaeocystis. RNAcentral's name for it is "partial Bacterial large subunit ribosomal RNA". It matches the Rfam family "Bacterial large subunit ribosomal RNA", at positions 213 to 553 of the family's 2925-position model. The record is from RNAcentral. Lineage: Eukaryota; Haptophyta; Phaeocystales; Phaeocystaceae.